UUUUGGACAAUGGGCGCAAGCCUGAUCCAGCCAUGCCGCGGGCGUGGAGAAGGCCGUCGGGUUGUCACGCUCUUUCGGACGGAAAGAAAUCGCGCAGGCUAGUACCCUGCGCGGAUGACGGUACCGUCAUAAUACGCACAGGCUAACUACGUGCCAGCAGCCGCGGUAAUACGUAGGGUGCGAGCGUUAAUCGGAAUUACUGGGCGUAAAGCGUGCACAGGCGGUUGAUUAAGACAGGCGUGAAAUCCCCGGGCUUAACCUGGGAACUGCGCAUGUGACUGGUCAGCUAGAGUACGGCAGAAGGGGGUGGAAUUCCACGUGUAGCAGUGAAAUGCGUAGAGAUGUGGAGGAACACCGAUGGCGAAGGCAGCCCCCUGGGCCGAUACUGACGCUCAUGCACGAAAGCGUGGGUAGCAAACAGG
RNAcentral lists this ribosomal RNA (422 nucleotides) under uncultured bacterium. RNAcentral's name for it is "partial 16S ribosomal RNA". It matches the Rfam family "Bacterial small subunit ribosomal RNA", at positions 362 to 776 of the family's 1533-position model. The record is from RNAcentral.